Physeter macrocephalus (sperm whale) is the source of this 104-nucleotide small nuclear RNA. The record is from Ensembl. NCBI's taxonomy places the organism in Eukaryota, Metazoa, Chordata, Mammalia, Artiodactyla, Physeteridae.
GUCCUCGCUUUGGCAGCACAUGUGCUAAAAUUGGAACGACAUUAGCGUGGCCCUUGUGCAAGGAUGACAAGCAAAUGCAAACUCGUGAAGCGUUCCAUGUUUUU